UAGAGCACUCUAAUGAGACCGCCGGUGACAAACCGGAGGAAGGUGGGGAUGACGUCAAGUCCUCAUGGCCCUUAUGGGUAGGGCUACACACGUCAUACAAUGGGCGGUACAGAGGGNNGCRRACCCGCGAGGGGGAGCNRAUCCCUUAAAACCGCUCGUAGUCCGGAUUGUAGUCUGCAACUCGACUGCAUGAAGUCGGAAUCGCUAGUAAUCGCGGAUCAGCUUGCCGCGGNGAAUACGUUCCC
This 245-nucleotide ribosomal RNA is filed under the name Thiomonas perometabolis. RNAcentral describes it as "16S ribosomal RNA". It matches the Rfam family "Bacterial small subunit ribosomal RNA", at positions 1131 to 1375 of the family's 1533-position model. Lineage: Bacteria; Pseudomonadati; Pseudomonadota; Betaproteobacteria; Burkholderiales. The record is from RNAcentral.